GCUAGAGCUGCGGUGGGCCGGCUCCGGGGCCACGUGCGGACAACUGGGCUCCUGUCCUGCGAACCUGCCUGAGUCCGCAGACCCGACUGGCCCGGACCCUGUAUCCUUUUGCCAAGUCUCCCUCUUCUCUCCAGCCGGUUCAUGCAGUUCAUCCCUGUUAUGUACAUCCCAGUCCCUUUUGUCACGUCAGGCUCAAAAUGGUGAUUUGGCGGAAGACAGAACCAAGUUCAAGUCACUCAUCAAGUGACCAACGACAGGUGUUUAACAUUGUUGAGACUUAGGUUCCUGCUCUGUAAAACGAGACUGCUAAAUACCUACCAGGUGUUUUUGUACAUGGUUGAAUCCCCCCUCCCCCCCCCCCCCAAAAAUACCCAUGGGUUGUAUUUUUUUAUGGUUGUUGAAUUUCCUACCCUUUAGGAGCUCACAAUCAUCAUGCAAGGCCUGGUGUUAAGCUACUUUUUCUUUCUAGUCUCUUACUAGAUCGUAAACUGCUUGUAACAGGGAUCUGCCUGUGUGCCUUUUUAGUCUUCCAAUGGCACAAUCGCUUCACUUGGUCUGCUAAGGGUCAAUUUAACCUACAGAAACAGUAUUAGGGCAGAGUAUGUAAAAACCAUGGGAUUUACAGCACAGAAAACCUCUGCAGUUAGGUGGGUUUCUGUGCCAUGAUCCACAAGUGUGUUGCCACAGGGAGCGUACCGGAGAAACACCUUAAGACUGCUGUCAUGUACAAGCUCUGUGAGCUUGGGCAGAUCUUGAACUCCCUGGAGCCUUGCAAGAACAAUGAUUGUGUCCAGAAAGAUUACAGGACUUACCAGGUGCCAGGCACUUUUUGAUGCUCAUAUACAUAAUUUUUAAUGUUUUGUUUUUAGGGAGCGAGAGAGAGAAACAUCAAUUUGUUGUUCCACUUACUUGUGCAUUGAUUGGUUGAUUCUUAUGCGUGCCCUGAUCGAGAUCGAACCUGCAAUCUUGGCAUAACAGGACGAUGCUCCAACCAAUGGAGCCACCUGGCCAGGGCUGAAGCUCAUAUUAAUGUUAGGGACUCCUCUGGAAAUGCCCUGGGGGAUCUCCUCCACAGAUUCCUGGCUGGAGGCCCAUCUCCUCUGCAGUGACUCUGGAGGCACUCUCACCUGAUUCUUCCUCCGCGUCUUCCAACCACAGAUACUCGUAAGUUCUACUGCUAACGUGACGUCAGCCCUGAUGACCUUCAGACUCUCCAACCCUAACAUGCCAGCACACCAGCAUUUGCCUUACUUCAGAGCAUUCCUGCCAAAAGUGUUAACCCAAAAGACUCUGACUUCAUGUCUAGUUUACAGGAAAUGCAGGUGGGGGCAGAAGAACAGGUCACCACGAGGAAGCCACCAGCCAAUGGCAGAACAUGGGACCUUCUACCUGGCUAGGUCACUUUGAAAGUCAAAAGCCAUGGAAAACAUGGUGGGAACUUUCUAAUGACACUCAAGAACUACAAGGACCAAUGUCAUGUAUGAUCCUUGAUGAGAUUAUCAUUCAGAGGAAAGAAAUCCUGAAGACAUUUUGGGGAAAUUUGAAUAUGGAAAGAACAUUAAACAUUAGAGCGGUAGUGUUACUGGGUGGUAUUGUGAUUAUGUAAGAGAUUGUCCUCAUGUUUUGGGGAAGUUUGCUAAGUAUUUGGAUGAGAAGUAUCACAAUGUCCCUAAUUCACUUUGAAGUGCUUCAGAAAAAAAAUCUCUUAAACGAAUAUGGCAAAAUGUUAACAUAUAUUGAA
Molecule: long non-coding RNA, 1741 nt
Organism: Phyllostomus hastatus (greater spear-nosed bat)
Lineage: Eukaryota; Metazoa; Chordata; Mammalia; Chiroptera; Phyllostomidae
Exons: 2
Source: RefSeq, a predicted model, not a curated record